AAAGACAUCAUGCUGAAUAGA
This 21-nucleotide non-coding RNA is filed under the name Mus musculus (house mouse). The record is from RNAcentral. Lineage: Eukaryota; Metazoa; Chordata; Mammalia; Rodentia; Muridae.